GAAGCGGGAAGAGCUCAAAUUUGAAAUCUGGUGGCCUCAGGCUAUCCGAGUUGUAAUCUAUAGAAACAUUUUCCGCGUUGGCCCAUGUACAAGUCUCUUGGAAUAGAGCGUCAUAGAGGGUGAGAAUCCCGUCCUUGACAUGGACUACCAGUGCUUUGUGAUAUGUUUUCNAACGAGUUCGAGUUGUUUGGGAAUGCAGCUCAAAAUGGGUGGUAAAAUCCAUCUAAAGCUAAAUAUUGGCGAGAGACCGAUAGCGAACAAGUACCGUGAGGGAAAGAUGAAAAGCACUUUGGAAAGAGAGUUAAACAGUAUGUGAAAUUGUUGAAAGGGAAACGAUUGAAGUCAGUCGUGUCUAUUGGACUCAGCCGGUUCUGCCGGUGUACUUCCUUUAAUGGGGUCAACAUCAGUUUUGAUCGCUGGAAAAGGGCAGGAGGAAUGUAGCACUCUCGGGUGAACUUAUAGCCUUCUGUCGCAUACAGUGGUUGGGACUGAGGAACGCAGCUUGCCUUUAUGGCCGGGAUUUAUCCACGUACAAGCUUAGGAUGUUGACAUUAUGGCUUUAAACGACCCGUCUU
RNAcentral lists this ribosomal RNA (575 nucleotides) under Solicoccozyma terricola. RNAcentral describes it as "eukaryotic LSU rRNA". It matches the Rfam family "Eukaryotic large subunit ribosomal RNA", at positions 95 to 655 of the family's 3401-position model. The record is from RNAcentral. Lineage: Eukaryota; Fungi; Basidiomycota; Tremellomycetes; Filobasidiales; Piskurozymaceae.